RNAcentral lists this unclassified non-coding RNA (305 nucleotides) under plant metagenome. RNAcentral describes it as "partial contains 5.8S ribosomal RNA, internal transcribed spacer 2, and large subunit ribosomal RNA". The stretch from base 1 to 105 matches the Rfam family "5.8S ribosomal RNA", at positions 50 to 154 of the family's 154-position model. The record is from RNAcentral.
GAAAUGCGAUAAGUAGUGUGAAUUGCAGAAUUCAGUGAAUCAUCGAAUCUUUGAACGCACAUUGCGCCCUUUGGUAUUCCUUAGGGCAUGCCUGUUCGAGCGUCAUCUAAACCUUCAAGCCCUGCUUGGUGUUGGGUGCCUGUCCCGCCUCCGCGCGCGGACUCACCUCAAAUCCAUUGGCGGCACCCGCGUCGGCCACGAGCGCAGCAGAAACGCGAACUCGUGAGCCCGUCCGGGCGGCUCCCAGAAGCUACACCCACCCAGUUUGACCUCGGAUCAGGUAGGGAUACCCGCUGAACUUAAGC